UAGGGAAUCUUCCGCAAUGGACGAAAGUCUGACGGAGCAACGCCGCGUGAGUGAUGAAGGUUCUCGGAUCGUAAAGCUCUGUUGCCAAGGAAGAACGGCUUGGAGAGUAACUGCUCUGAGCAUGACGGUACUUGAGAAGAAAGCCCCGGCUAACUACGUGCCAGCAGCCGCGGUAAUACGUAGGGGGCAAGCGUUGUCCGGAAUUAUUGGGCGUAAAGCGCGCGCAGGCGGUCUGUUAAGUCUGGUGUUUAAUCCCGGGGCUCAACCCCGGUACGCAUCUGGAAACUGGCAGACUUGAGUGCAGGAGAGGAAAGCGGAAUUCCACGUGUAGCGGUGAAAUGCGUAGAGAUGUGGAGGAACACCAGUGGCGAAGGCGGCUUUCUGGACUGUAACUGACGCUGAGGCGCGAAAGCGUGGGGAGCAAACAG
Molecule: ribosomal RNA, 428 nt
Filed under: uncultured bacterium
Lineage: Bacteria
Description: bacterial SSU rRNA
Rfam family: Bacterial small subunit ribosomal RNA
Source: RNAcentral